GGGCCCGCACAAGCGGUGGAGCAUGUGGUUUAAUUCGAUGCAACGCGAAGAACCUUACCAGGGUUUGACAUCCUGCGAAUCUCCUGGAAACGGGAGAGUGCCUUCGGGAACGCAGUGACAGGUGGUGCAUGGCUGUCGUCAGCUCGUGUCGUGAGAUGUUGGGUUAAGUCCCGCAACGAGCGCAACCCACGUCUUUAGUUGCCAGCAUUUAGUUGGGCACUCUAGAGAGACCGCCGGUGAUAAACCGGAGGAAGGUGUGGAUGACGUCAAGUCAUCAUGCCCCUUACAUCCUGGGCUACACACGUACUACAAUGCUACGGACAAAGGGCAGCAAACUCGCGAGAGCUAGCAAAUCCCAUAAACCGUGGCUCAGUUCAGAUCGUAGGCUGCAACUCGCCUACGUGAAGGAGGAAUCGCCAGUAAUCGCAGGUC
RNAcentral lists this ribosomal RNA (432 nucleotides) under uncultured bacterium. Its description in RNAcentral is "bacterial SSU rRNA". It matches the Rfam family "Bacterial small subunit ribosomal RNA", at positions 917 to 1350 of the family's 1533-position model. The record is from RNAcentral.